AACGAACGCUGGCGGCAUGCCUAACACAUGCAAGUCGAACGAGACCUUCGGGUCUAGUGGCGCACGGGUGCGUAACGCGUGGGAACCUGCCCUUAGGUUCGGAAUAACUCCCCGAAAGGGGUGCUAAUACCGGAUAAUGUCUUCGGACCAAAGAUUUAUCGCCUUUGGAUGGGCCCGCGUUGGAUUAGCUAGUUGGUAGGGUAAAAGCCUACCAAGGCGACGAUCCAUAGAUGGUCUGAGAGGAUGAUCAGCCACACUGGGACUGAGACACGGCCCAGACUCCCACGGGGGGCAGCAGGGGGGAAUAUUGGACAAUGGGCGAAAGCCUGAUCCAGCAAGGCCGGGUGAGUGAUGAAGGCCUUAGGGUUGUAAAGCUCUUUUACCCGGGAUGAUAAUGCCAGGACCGGGAGAAUAAGCUCCGGCUAACUCCGU
This 432-nucleotide ribosomal RNA is filed under the name uncultured bacterium. Its description in RNAcentral is "partial 16S ribosomal RNA". It matches the Rfam family "Bacterial small subunit ribosomal RNA", at positions 29 to 506 of the family's 1533-position model. The record is from RNAcentral.